CUACGUAGGUGACAAGCGUUAUCCGGAUUUACUGGGCGUAAAGGGCGUGUAGGCGGUCUUGCAAGUCAGAAGUGAAAUUCCUGAGCUCAACUCGGGCGCUGCUUCUGAAACUGCAGGACUUGAGUGCUGGAGGGGAUAGCGGAAUUCCUAGUGGAGCGGUAAAAUGCGCAGAUAUUAGGAAGAACACCGGUGGCGAAGGCGGCUAUCUGGACAGUAACUGACGCUGAGGCGCGAAAGCGUGGGGAGAAAACAGGAUUAGAUCCCUUGGUAGUCCACGCCGUAAACGAUGAAUACUAGGUGUAGGGGGUAUCGACUCCCUCUGUGCCGCAGUUAACACAAUAAGUAUUCCGCCUGGGGAGUACCGCCGCAAGGUUGAAACUCAAAUGAAUUGACGGGG
This 397-nucleotide ribosomal RNA is filed under the name uncultured bacterium. RNAcentral describes it as "partial 16S ribosomal RNA". It matches the Rfam family "Bacterial small subunit ribosomal RNA", at positions 523 to 918 of the family's 1533-position model. The record is from RNAcentral.